AACGAACGCUGGCGGCAUGCCUAAUACAUGCAAGUCGAACGAGAUCUUCGGAUGUAGGGGCGCACGGGUGCGGAACGCGUGGGAAGCGGCCCUUGGGUUCGAAAUAACUUCUGGAAACGGAAGCCAAUACCGGAUGAUGACGUAAGCCCAAAGAUUUAUCGCCCAAGGAUGAGCCCGCGUAGGAUUAGCUAGUUGGUGGGGUAAAGGCCCACCAAGGCGACGAUCCUUAGCUGGUCUGAGAGGAUGCUCAGCCACCCCGGGACUCAGACACGGCCCCGACUCCUCCGGGAGGCAGCAGUAGCGAAUAUUGGACAGUGGGCGGAGGCCUGAUCAACCUCGGCCCCGUGAGUGCUGAAAGCCUUAGGGUUCUAAUGCUCUUUUACCCGGGAUGAUAAUGACAGUACCGGGACAGUAAGCUCCGGCUAACUCCGUG
Molecule: ribosomal RNA, 433 nt
Filed under: uncultured bacterium
Lineage: Bacteria
Description: partial 16S ribosomal RNA
Rfam family: Bacterial small subunit ribosomal RNA
Source: RNAcentral